This 497-nucleotide ribosomal RNA is filed under the name uncultured bacterium. RNAcentral describes it as "partial 16S ribosomal RNA". It matches the Rfam family "Bacterial small subunit ribosomal RNA", at positions 28 to 507 of the family's 1533-position model. The record is from RNAcentral.
GAUGAACGCUGGCGGCGUGCCUAAUACAUGCAAGUCGAGCGAACAGACGCGGAGCUUGCUCGUCGGACGUUAGCCGCGGAGGGGUGAGUAACACGUGGAUCACCUACCUAUAAGACUGGGAUAACUUCGGGAAACCGGGUCUAAUACCGGAUAAUAUAUUGAACCACAUUGUUCAAUGGUGAAAUACGGUGUUUCUGUCACUUAUAGAGGCAUCCCGGCCGCAUUAGCUGGUUGGUAAGGUCACGGGUUACCAAGGGUAGGAUGCGUUGCCGACCUGAGGGGGUGAUAGCCCACACUGGAGCUGAGACACGGUCCAGACUCCUACGGGAGGCAGCAGUAGGGAAUCUUCCGCAAUGGGCGAAAGCCUGACGGAGCAACGCCGCGUGAGUGAUGAAGGUCUUCGGAUCGUAAAGCUCUGUUAUUAGGGAAGAACAAAUGUGUAAGUAACUAUGCACGUCUUGACGGUAACUAAUCAGAAAGCCACGGCUAACUACGUG